CCUACGGGCGGCAGCAGUGGGGAAUAUUGCACAAUGGGGGAAACUCUGAUGCAGCGACGCCGCGUGAGUGAAGACGUAUUUCGGAAUGUAAAGCUCUAUCAGCAGGGAAGUAAAUGACGGUACCUGACUAUGACGCCCCGGCUAACUACGUGCCAGCAGCCUUGGUAAUACGCAGGCGGCCAGCGUUAUCCGGAUUUACCGGGUGUAAAGGGAGAGUAGGCGGCAGGAUAAGGGAGAUGUGAAAGCCUUAGGCUUAACCUGAGGAUUGCAUAACGAACUAUCUAGCUAGAGAACAGGUGCGGAAAGCGGAAUGCAUGGUGUAGCGGUGAAAUGCGUAGAUAUUAGGAAGAACACCAGUGGCGAAGGCAGCUUUC
This 374-nucleotide ribosomal RNA is filed under the name uncultured bacterium. RNAcentral's name for it is "partial 16S ribosomal RNA". It matches the Rfam family "Bacterial small subunit ribosomal RNA", at positions 338 to 729 of the family's 1533-position model. The record is from RNAcentral.